Molecule: long non-coding RNA, 1063 nt
Filed under: Hordeum vulgare
Lineage: Eukaryota; Viridiplantae; Streptophyta; Magnoliopsida; Poales; Poaceae
Description: long non-coding RNA (HVUL_LNC005401)
Source: RNAcentral
CGGGACGUGCGUUGUUAGGACGCGCGUCGCCGCGCCUUCACUGCACCGCCCGUGAAGAAUCAAUGGAAGGCUGACCGGCGGCGCAGCCUUCGCAUUGAUUCCCGCAGGAAACGAGGCGAUGAGGAGGACGAACGCGCGUAGUCACUGAGAGGGCAGAUCCACACACAUUUCGCGCCAAAAAAGUUUCCCCCGAUCCCCGGACACCCCCAGCUCGCUGGGUUCGGCUUGGAACGAUCGAUGCAAAUUUCUCUCCUAGCCGAUGAAAAACAGGCUCCUAUAAACGCGACUGGAUCAUUUUUUUCGUGCCGAUGUUAAAAAAUGGUUUUGAAGGGCCUGUUGUGGACGUAGAUGAAGAUGCUCUUAGAAGCUCUUGCGACGGUAACAACAACUCCAUUAUUGCUCGAGGCAAGGACAAGUUUUACCCCUAACCUUCCUUCCAUUCUUCCACCUCAAACCCUAGUUACAAGCCUGACCGCGGUGGUCGAGGACCGGAAGCAAAUAAUUACAUGACUAUGGCCAAAUCAUAGUGCAGAUAAUGUUCAACUUUAUACAUAUUCUAGGUGCCAUAUUUUUUGAACAACGGGGAGGCCUACCUGGAAUUCAUAUAACAAAAUUAUUACUCCCUCUGUAAACUAAUAUAAGAACGGUUAGAUAACUACUUUAGUGAUCUAAAUGCUCUUAUAUUAGUUUACAGAGGGAGUACAACACAACCCUCAGGAUCUCACAGGAACGCAAAAAUACAAGCAAAUCCUUUUAAUUUGCACAAAAGAGCUCCAAAUAAACUCCUAAAAAGCAUCAGAUCUCUAAGCUCUAAUAACAAUAUCCUUCUAUUUACUGUGGAACACAAAUCAAUUGAUAGUUACAAAACCAAGGAGAUAUUGUAACACGUCCAACAAAUUUGGCAACUAAGAAAAAACUCAAAUUGUCUGAACAUAAUCCCCAAAACAAAUAAUCAUAGCUCGGAUCGGUUUGCAGUUGAUGAGAUGUGUUGGCUGUGCUUAUUUUAUAAUUGGUUGUGAAAAUGACUAUAUAAGAGCAUCUUCAACAGAUGUUCUAUUUUAGU